Molecule: ribosomal RNA, 274 nt
Filed under: uncultured bacterium
Lineage: Bacteria
Description: partial 16S ribosomal RNA
Rfam family: Bacterial small subunit ribosomal RNA
Source: RNAcentral
AUACGGAGGGUCCAAGCGUUAUCCGGAAUCAUUGGGUUUAAAGGGUCCGCAGGCGGUCAAUUAAGUCAGAGGUGAAAGCCCAUCGCUCUACGAUGGAACUGCCUUUGAUACUGGUUGACUUGAGUUAUACGGAAGUAGAUAGAAUAAGUAGUGUAGCGGUGAAAUGCAUAGAUAUUACUUAGAAUACCGAUUGCGAAGGCAGUCUACUACGUAUAUACUGACGCUGAGGGACGAAAGCGUGGGGAGCGAACAGGAUUAGAAACCCGGGUAGUCC